This 442-nucleotide ribosomal RNA is filed under the name uncultured bacterium. RNAcentral describes it as "partial 16S ribosomal RNA". It matches the Rfam family "Bacterial small subunit ribosomal RNA", at positions 338 to 795 of the family's 1533-position model. The record is from RNAcentral.
CCUACGGGAGGCAGCAGUAGGGAAUCUUUCACAAUGGGCGAAAGCCUGAUGGAGCAACGCCGCGUGCAGGAUGAAGGCCUUCGGGUUGUAAACUGCUUUUAUAAGCGAGAAAUAUGAUGGUAACUUAUGAAUAAGGAUCGGCUAACUACGUGCCAGCAGCCGCGGUCAUACGUAGGAUCCGAGCAUUAUCCGGAGUGACUGGGUGUAAAGAGUUGCGUAGGUGGCAUAAUAAGUAGCUAGUGAAAUCUGGUGGCUCAACCAUUCAGACUAUUAGCUAAACUGUUAAGCUCGAGACCGUUAGGGGUAACUGGAAUUUCUAGUGUACGAGUGAAAUCCGUAGAUAUUAGAAGGAACACCAAUAGCGUAGGCAGGUUGCUGGGACGGUUCUGACACUAAGGCACGAAAGCGUAGGGAGCAAACGGGAUUAGAUACCCGAGUAGUC